This 433-nucleotide ribosomal RNA is filed under the name uncultured bacterium. RNAcentral describes it as "partial 16S ribosomal RNA". It matches the Rfam family "Bacterial small subunit ribosomal RNA", at positions 29 to 507 of the family's 1533-position model. The record is from RNAcentral.
AACGAACGCUGGCGGCAUGCCUAACACAUGCAAGUCGAACGAGACCUUCGGGCCUAGUGGCGCACGGGUGCGUAACGCCUGGGAACCUGCCCUUAGGUUCGGAAUAACUCCCCGAAAGGGGUGCUAAUACCGGAUAAUGUCUUCGGACCAAAGAUUUAUCGCCUUUGGAUGGGCCCGCGUUGGAUUAGCUAGUUGGUAGGGUAAAAGCCUACCAAGGCGAAGAUCCAUAGCUGGUCUGAGAGGAUGAUCAGCCACACUGGGACUGAGACACGGCCCAGACUCCUACGGGAAGCAGCAGUAGGGAAUAUUGGACAAUGGGCGAAAGCCUGAUCCAGCAAUGCCGCGUGAGUGAUGAAGGCCUUAGGGUUGUAAAGCUCUUUGACCCGGGAUGAGAAUGACAGUACCGGGAGAAUAAGCUCCGGCUAACUCCGUG